This 371-nucleotide ribosomal RNA is filed under the name uncultured bacterium. RNAcentral's name for it is "bacterial SSU rRNA". It matches the Rfam family "Bacterial small subunit ribosomal RNA", at positions 918 to 1297 of the family's 1533-position model. The record is from RNAcentral.
GGCCCGCACAAGCGGUGGAGUAUGUGGUUUAAUUCGAUGCAACGCGAAGAACCUUACCAGGGUUUAAAUGCAGAACGACAGGGGUGGAAACACCCCCUUCUUCGGACGGACUGCAAGGUGCUGCAUGGUUGUCGUCAGCUCGUGCUGUGAAGUGUCGGGUUAAGUCCCAUAACGAGCGCAACCCCAUUUCUAGUUGCCAGCGGUUCGGCCGGGACUCUAGAGAAACUGCCAGCGUAAGCUGUGAGGAAGUGGGAUGACGUCAAUCAUCACGGCCCUUACAUCCUGGGCCACACACGUGCUACAAUGGUAGGGGACAACAGGUUGCCAACCCCGCGAGGGUGAGCAAUCCCAAAACCCUAUCUCAGUUCGGA